Molecule: RNA transcript, 1493 nt
Organism: Aphis gossypii (cotton aphid)
Lineage: Eukaryota; Metazoa; Arthropoda; Insecta; Hemiptera; Aphididae
Gene name: low-density lipoprotein receptor-related protein 8-like
Exons: 5
Source: RefSeq, a predicted model, not a curated record
UUACGGUGUUUGAGCAUUAAAUGUUGUCGUAUACUCCGAUUGCUCGAACGUAUAAAAAUAAAUAAAUAACCAAAAACACGAAAGCGGUGUCCAGUGGUGAUCGAGUCACACGAUUACCACCACUGACCCUUUCACAGCCUUAGCCAUAUCUAUUAUAUUAUAUUAAUCUUACAAUCGAGUUACUAUCGAUUGUUCUAGUUUAUACAUAUUUAAAUUUCUUAUUAUUUUGUUUUUGCUUACUAUACUAAUUAAAAUAUUAUAGUGCAUUGACAUUAACAUUAUCAUUGAUAUUGACAUAUGAUUAAAUAAAUAGUAAUCCACAGGUUGAAUUCAGUACUCGUAGAUUAUUAACAGAGGUAACACUACGUGUUAUAAAAAUGAAAGUAAUUUCUUAAAUGUACAUGGAAAAGGAAUAACUCUUUUAGUUAACUUAUAUUCAAAUAUUUUUUUAAAAAACUAACCGCUGAAUCAAAUAUAUGUAUUAUUUAUUAUAGAUGCAUUUUUUUUUCUUGUAGGAACUUACAUUCACCCAAUUUUAUAACGAGGUGCAAAAUACAUAAAAUUGUUCAUGGCACAAUCGAAAAAAAAUAAUCUAAUUUUUGGCUCGUAGCGUUCAUAUAAUUUCCUUUCUUUAAUGUAUGCUGUUUUAGUUGAUGAUUAUUACUAUAUAGGCAUAUGAUAUUUCGAAGCCGGUUCCAACAAAUUAUAACUAAUAAGUAUAAUUAGUUAUUAUUAUCAUGUGAUUCGUAAUACAAUAUUGCAUGACCUUGAAUCUCCAAGUACUUAUUAAAAAAUAUAUUUUAUGAGCUUCGAUCUCAUUGGACCAUCGAUAUCAACUACGUAUUAGCAUCAUAUAGUUAUUUAAAAGAUCCAAUAAUAUUAUGUGAUCAGUGUUGUUAAAUCGUACUAUCGUAUUACUAUCUUAUGAAGUUAAAAAAUAAUAAAUUUUCUAACGAUAUUGUCAUUAUUUAUAAUACCUAUUUAUAUUAUAUUUUACCAUACCUAAAUGAUUGUUAUGAAUAUAUUUAUAUUAUUUAGUAUUAAGUGAAGUCUAUAUAACUUAUAUAAUACAAUAUUUUCAAUAUUUGAUAAUAUAUUUACUUGAUUUUAGUUAUUCUUUAGUCAUGAAAGUGACGUAUUCUUGGUGGAUAUAUUCAUUUUUAAUUUUCGGAACUGAAAUUGUGUGUGACACAAACAUUGAAAAACUACAAGCUGAAUCAUCUUGCUCAGAAUCUUCUGAGGAAUCGUUUGUUUGUUCAAAUGGAUUAUGUAUCACAUUGUCGUCGAUUUGUGAUGGUCAGGUGGAUUGCUUAGAUGGUUCAGACGAAAAAAUUGAAUUAUGUGAUCGAUUUAUUUUUGAAAAAUAUAAUAUCGAAGGUGAUGAUCUGUUUGGGCGCAGUAUAAAUAAUUUACUUGUAAAUUAUUAACACGUUUGGUCGCAUUUAUGAGAACACCUUUGGGCACAAAAAGUCUUAUAAUAUAAGUUGUGGUAG